RNAcentral lists this ribosomal RNA (521 nucleotides) under uncultured bacterium. Its description in RNAcentral is "partial 16S ribosomal RNA". It matches the Rfam family "Bacterial small subunit ribosomal RNA", at positions 28 to 523 of the family's 1533-position model. The record is from RNAcentral.
GACGAACGCUGGCGGCGUGCCUAAUACAUGCAAGUCGAGCGGGCCUCCGGAGGUGCUUGCACCUCCGGAAGGCCAGCGGCGGACGGGUGAGUAACACGUGGGCAACCUGCCUUUGAGGCCGGGAUAACACCGGGAAACCGGUGCUAAUACCGGAUGCGUCCCCUUUCGCGCCUGCGAGAGGGGAGAAAGACGGUCUUUAAGGCCGUCGCUCAAAGAGGGGCCCGCGGCGCAUUAGCUGGUUGGUGGGGUAAGGGCCUACCAAGGCGACGAUGCGUGGCCGACCUGAGGGGGUGAUCGGCCACACUGGGACUGAGACACGGCCCAGACUCCUGCGGGAGGCAGCAGUAGGGAAUCAUCCGCAAUGGGCGAAAGCCUGACGGUGCAACGCCGCGUGAGUGAGGAAGGUUUUCGGAUCGUAAAGCUCUGUUGUGAGGGAAGAACAGCUUCCGGAGGAAAUGCCGGAGGUUUGCCGGUACCUCACCAGAAAGCCCCGGCUAACUACGUGCCAGCAGCCGCCGUAA